Molecule: ribosomal RNA, 251 nt
Filed under: uncultured prokaryote
Description: partial 16S rRNA
Rfam family: Bacterial small subunit ribosomal RNA
Source: RNAcentral
ACGGAGGAUGCAAGCGUUAUCCGGAUUCAUUGGGUUUAAAGGGUGCGCAGGUGGGAAAAUAAGUCAGUGGUGAAAUACUGCCGCUUAACGGUAGAAUUGCCAUUGAUACUGUUUUUCUUGAGUAUGGUUGAGGUAGGUGGAAUGUGUUGUGUAGCGGUGAAAUGCGUAGAUAUUAGGAGGAACACCAGUGGCGAAGGCGGCUUUCUGGACUGACACUGACGCUGAGGCACGAAAGCGUGGGGAGCAAACAG